RNAcentral lists this ribosomal RNA (491 nucleotides) under uncultured bacterium. RNAcentral describes it as "partial 16S ribosomal RNA". It matches the Rfam family "Bacterial small subunit ribosomal RNA", at positions 29 to 507 of the family's 1533-position model. The record is from RNAcentral.
GUGAACGCUGGCGGUAGGCCUAACACAUGCAAGUCGAACGGCAGCACAGUAAGAGCUUGCUCUUACGGGUGGCGAGUGGCGGACGGGUGAGGAAUACAUCGGAAUCUACUUUUUCGUGGGGGAUAACGUAGGGAAACUUACGCUAAUACCGCAUACGACCUACGGGUGAAAGCAGGGGAUCUUCGGACCUUGCGCGAUUGAAUGAGCCGAUGCCGGAUUAGCUAGUUGGCGGGGUAAAGGCCCACCAAGGCGACGAUCCGUAGCUGGUCUGAGAGGAUGAUCAGCCACACUGGAACUGAGACACGGUCCAGACUCCUACGGGAGGCAGCAGUGGGGAAUAUUGGACAAUGGGCGCAAGCCUGAUCCAGCCAUACCGCGUGGGUGAAGAAGGCCUUCGGGUUGUAAAGCCCUUUUGUUGGGAAAGAAAGGCAGCAGGUUAAUACCCCGCUGUUCUGACGGUACCCAAAGAAUAAGCACCGGCUAACUUCGUG